CCCUCCGUUAGUGCAGGUUGGAACCAGGCCCAUCGCUUUAUUCCUCUGUGCAGUGGCUACAUGGACAGUGGCAGGUGGGACUGUUGGCCACUUGUCCACAGCCUCUGUCCUGCGCCUCUGGUUUUGACAGGACCGAGUUUAGGGCUGUUGCCAUCUCUGCUCCCUUCAUUGAGAUCGCCACUUGAUGGUCCCUCUCCUGUGCCCGCCCAGAUUCCAGGCUUGGGGCUGUUAUGACCCAGAGGCACUGGGAUCCCCACCCCCCAGCACUGGGCUUCCUGGCCUGGGAAGACUGGAGUUCAGCACCUUCGCCACCAGGUGGCAGCAGUGGGGAGCGCUAAGGAAACCCUGGAAGGCUUGCCUCAGCAGAGCUCUGGCUUUGAACUUGUCUCCACCUUGGUCCUCAGCCUUGGAAGGACCACCCAGCUUGCUCACACGUGUGACCCCUUUUGGGGCGGCAGGUUCUGCUCCUGCUCAGCUAUGAGAUCUUAAGCAACUGCCAAGAGGCAGGGCUGAGGACCAAGACCAGGGCCACCUGGUGCUAACGCGUUUCUCAUCUCAGGAGCUGCUGUGGCUUCUGUCCACCUGAGCGACCAGUGAGACUAAUCAGUAUUUGCAGUCGGCCAGGGAGCGGGGGCGGAGGGGGUGGCAGGAGGGAAGAAGCGUGCUCCGCGCAGCAAGAGAUCUUAGCCUGUUAGGGUUUGCUGAGACACCUGCACAUGAGGCGUGUCUGGACGGAGCCCAGGAUACUCUCUGGUGUCCAGCUCUGGCCCCACUGUCCUGUCUGGGAGGAACUGAGGGUGCGUGGCUAUGAGGGCAAGCCCAGAACUGGCAGGUGCUGAGCGCCUACUGUGUGCCUGACGGUGGAGAAUUCUGUGCCUGUUGUGCGGCUUCUGUUAGGCCCCUGAAGGCUCUCAUUCCAUGUCCGUGUCAGUGCACGUGAGCUACAUGGGAACAGUGCGGACUUGGCUGAGUUCUGGGUUCAGACCCACGCGGCUGCUGAGUAGUUGGGUGUUGUUGGCCAGUUCGGUUUUCUGCAUCGGUUUUCUCAUCUGUGAGGUUUCAUAACCUGUUUCUCAUGGGGACGUAGAAUGCAGGCCCCCCCACGGGAGGUUAUGUGGAUUAAAGCUCCCGGCACCACAUGUGGGACACUGGUGCUGAGCCACUGGGGUCUUGUCCAUGACUAGGCGGGUGUCCUAUUCUUGUCUCAUAGGGACCCCUCAGGAGCUGUUAUCCUAGGUCAGAGGUGUUGAGGCUUCUGCAGUGGGAAUGGUCCUGUUUGCUGAGCAGCACAAGACCGGGGAUGAAAGGGAAGUGGUGAGGAAGGGGAGCGCGAGAGGAGGGGGAAGGUGUCUGCCGUUGGGAGCUGCAGAGGUCUGAGGAGCCCCGUGUCUGUCCAAGGUGAUGGCCUGGGGCCUGGUGCAGACCCCGUGUCACGGCACCAGCUCGACCUCCCGGCCCAGAAGAGACUCCCCGGAGGAGACGCGGCCUGGGCCCUGCGGCCAGCUCCGCCCCGCGGGACAGUGACUGCGUGGCGAACCCCAAGGUGAACCCUGGGGGGCCGGAGGAAAAUCACCGUUUUCACCUGAAGCAAAGGUAAAUGGCUGAGUCGUGUAUGGACAAGAGGCGGCGGAGUGGACACUCCUGGGUUGGGGACAGACACAGAAUCCAGGGGGACCGAGGAAGUGAAGUGUCCAUGGUCUCAAGGUGCAUGACACCAGCGUCAGGGCCCAGGGCCGGGUCUUGGCCACGUGACUGAGGAAGGAGUCAGCUGUGCAGCUCGAGGACCAGGGACAGUGAAGUCAUUACCAGGAGGCAGGCCGGCGGGCUUUCUGUGGAGGAAGAGCUGGUAACAGUGAGUGCCUGGAGGCUGAACACCUGCUUGCCGGGCCUGCAGAAGCCACAGACGCGGGGGACGUGGCUGGACCCCCGGAAGGAUUCGUAGCACAGACGCACUCGCCUGCAGGCCAGAGGGGCACCAUUUUGCUCCGCAUUAUUUUAGGACCCGACACACAGAGCUGUUCAUUUCCCCCAGGAAGCUGCUCCUGAGCAGUAGGAACAGCUUAGGAACUCCAGGCCACUUGCUGUUCCUUUUGACACCACCGUUUUGCAAUGUCACCAAUCAGGCCAGUCGGCCCCUCCCGGGGCAGGGACCCUCCUGGGGCCCGGGCAGGCAGGGCCACCCCAGGGCAGUGGGAGGAGCCGCUGGCGUGGGCGCAGGGGUCCAGCUGUGGACCUGCGGAGGGGAGUCCUGGGCUGUGUUCUGGCGAUGGAACCCUGGAUGCAAACGUGGUUAAAAACCAACCUUCAAACAAAGCAAGGACAGGCUAGUCCGGAAACACGUUUCACUUGAAAUGUUUGUUUUGUUUUUUUAAAACAAGACAAUGUUUAGGGUUAUUAUAAAUCAGUAUUUAUAAACAAGUGAAAGUGCAUUUAGCAUAGCUGUGUUCACCUGAUGAAAUGGUUUUGGCACAUGUACAGAUGUGGAAAUUGUGAAUUUGUACUUGGACUUGUGGACUGUGGGUUUUGGGUGUUCCCCCUUUACCCCAUAUCCCCGUUUCCCACAGCCCCUUUCCUUUCUCCCUUCCCCCAUCCCAAGGGCUAAAAAGAGGACGGAGACUGAGCAGGAAGGAUCAACUAUUGCAGAAUUAGGGGGGCGGGGGGUGUGAUCCAUACCAGUCACCUGGGUACAUCCGUCCACUUGUUUUCAAAAUACCAAGACAGUGAGAUUCAUGGAAUAUUGUCCAAUACAGAACAAAUACUCCUAACCCAGACUUUAUAGGGGCCCUCCACAUGUUCAUCCCAUAACCAAGCUCAAGGGGGUGUGGUGAUCAUCAGUGACUCAAAACCACCUCAGGGCAUAAAACCCAGCACCUCCACCUGAGCCCUCACUGGCCACAACUGAAGGCAGUUCCUUUUGCUGAGUGUGUGGGUGAGCUCCGGGUCCAGCUGCCUAACGUCCUGCCCCCAGCAUGCAUUGCGCCAUGGCCGGGACCUAUUAACUCUGCCCGGAACAUGUCCUCUUUCUGCCCCUGGACUGUGGUCUGGUCCGCCCUGUGCCUAUGUAACACACCAAACUCUACAAAAUCACCUCAAGUAGGAGAACUAAUUCCUUUGACAAAUACCAUUAAAAAAUAAUAGCCCAGCCAUUGUGGCUCAGUGGUUGAGUGUCGACCUAUGAACCAGGAGGUCAUGGUUCGAUUCCCACUCAAGGCACAUGCCCAAGGUUGUGAGCUCGAUCCCCAGUAGGAGGUGUGCAGGAGGCAGCCAAUCAAUGAUGUUCCUCUCAUUGAUGUUCCUCUAUCCCUCGCCCUUCUCUAAAAAUCAAUGAAAAAAUCACUUAAAAAAUCACAGCUUUAUAGCAGUUUUGGGUUCUGAGCAAAACUGAGCAGAAAGGUCAGGCCCCAUAUACUUCUGCCCCCCCCCCUCCCCCCCGUCCCAUCCUGCCCAGAGGGUACACAGACCAUUUUGAUUUUCGGUUGCUUUUCCUGCCAGUUACUCCUGAACCAAUGGAGUCCUCCAGUAGCCUCUGUCCUGCCAGCUUUCCAACACUCUAAGAAUCCCUGCUUCUGCUUCAUUUCAGUGAGAAAUGAUGUCCUGGACGUGCUGACAGUAGCGUUUUCAGUUGCUCUGUAAAGCCCCUCAUCCUCCGGGUGUCAUGGGGCCUAGCUCAGCCCCUGGGACAUGGGUGUGCACAUCCUAUCACCUCCACUUCACGGGAGAUGGAGCAGGAGCCCAGACAAGUCAGGUGGCCCCAGGUCACACAGCUAAUUGGGAACCAGACACUAAGAUCCUGGCACUUUCCAGAAGUCAUCUGUAGCCAAGGCAGCUGCCCUGUUUGGCCAAAACUCUAAUUCCUUCCCUUCACCCACUUACCUCGUUCUCUAACGUGGAGACGCGGGUGCAUCCAGGGCAAGGGCCGGGUGUGCAAGUCCCGCUCCAGUGACUGAGCCAACUGAAGGGGCUUUUCUUCUCUCCACAAGCCAACCUGCCGUCGCAGCAGGGCGCCGGGUGUGCAGCCACCUGGGGAGGGCGGCCCCCGUCUCCACGCUGGAGAGGGAUGCUCUGCUUGGCUACACCUCUGAGCCUCGUGGGCCAGCCGAAGAACAGGAUGACAAUUUAAAAGUGGGCCGGGAGGGUGACUGAAGGGUUAAGUCUACAGGAACAGAUUCAGGUCAUAACCUGUAAGAUACAGGCCGGGGAGUUGAUGGCUGGAGUGGAGGUGGACACUGGAGUUAAGGAAGGCCAGGAUGUAGAAGACAGGAUGGUCACAGCUUUCAGCUGAAAUCUAGCUGCAGUCAGGAGGACCGGACGCCAGGGCCCCCAGAACUAGCCUGUGCUCCUACAGCAUGGGAACCCCGGACACCCUGACUCCUGUCUGUGGGUAACACGGUCUCAGUGACCAUUAAGAUGAGGACUGGUGGUGAAGAUGAAGUACUUUGGAAUGAGACAUGAAUAAUUCUCUUCUCUGUGAUUCUAUCACACACAAGUCAAAACAGAAAAGAUGAUUACAACUAGAGAAGACUAGAGAAGCAGUCUUACGUGACAGGAAAGACUGGAAAAUAGGGGCCAGGGUAACAAGGCAUCAAAUACAAUGUCAAAUUCAGGAGAUCUUACACAACCAGCUUCUUUAAUUAGAAAGCAACAAACAUGCAAAUGGCAAGUGUAGAAAUUUAUUUGAACCAACAUUGUCUCUACCAUGAGAACUGCUCUUCAACGUUGAUCCAAGCUCCCCCGUGUGGAGACUGGCAGUAUUGCACUUUCGUUGCUAGCACGCCUCAUACAUGGCAACUAGGGUUUAUAACAUUCUGCUAGUUUUAUUUCACACACUCUCCCAAGUUCAUGCACACAAUCACUCCACACCAAUGUCAGGUUAUCCCCCGCAAAAGGGAAAACUCCAAAAACCAUAACCUUAAAAUUGCACUGAAGCUCUGUAAAGAAAAAAAUAUAAGUGUCUUAUACAAAUAUCAAAACAUCCCAAGUGCUGGCCACUCAGAGUUGAUUAUUCCUCAUCCUCGGUUUCAUUCUCCUGACCGGAGCCUUCUGAUCGGUCACCCUCCAACCGGUCUGGAAAACAGAUAUGAGACUCACUAAAAGAAAUACUUUUAGGGUUAUGAUUAAGAUAAUCUUCAAUGCCUUUUAUUUAAAGCUGCUUAAAAUGUAUAGAACUCAACACACCAUUAUGUAAAAUUCAGUUCACCACUGUGUACAUACCUAAUUUUUGCCUCUACUGGGAAAUUUUAUAAAAUAAAGGAAACAACACUAUUAACUUUGAAAAUGGAUGUCAUUGUAAACACACAUUUUUUAAAGCCCUACAGAUGACUUUACCAUGUAUCAGUGGUGUGGCUGGGUAAGUCAUUACAGAAAGCCUGCUGAGAAGGGCUGGAGCUCCAUGAGGGUGGUCACUGUUGUCAUGAACUGACAGGUGAUGCUCAGCAUAUGGGACAUUUCACUCAUGAGGUCAGUGAACAGUGACGAACACUUGUUUGGUGAAUAUAUGGAUACUAUAAUGGAUACUGGAACUUUUUCUUGUUAUGAACACAGCCUUUGAAUUCCUUCCUGAAUAGUAGUUAUAAUAUAUGCAUUUCGUGUUAUCUGUGA
Myotis daubentonii (Daubenton's bat) is the source of this 5598-nucleotide long non-coding RNA. RefSeq lists it as uncharacterized. The transcript is spliced from 2 exons. The record is from RefSeq and is a predicted model, not a curated record. Lineage: Eukaryota; Metazoa; Chordata; Mammalia; Chiroptera; Vespertilionidae.